Molecule: long non-coding RNA, 458 nt
Organism: Pongo pygmaeus (Bornean orangutan)
Lineage: Eukaryota; Metazoa; Chordata; Mammalia; Primates; Hominidae
Exons: 3
Source: RefSeq, a predicted model, not a curated record
GGUGAUGUCAACGCCUGGCUUACUCCUCUUCCUGUUGGGUUGCAAACACGGCCUUCUCUCAUGGUCCUGGAAUGCUGACAUGGUCGGGCAGCCAGAGCCUAACACAGUCUAAGACAGAAGAAAACUGCAGAAGAUUGCUACCCAUUCAAGUAGAAAAACUCAAGCUGGAAAAUUAACAGCACAGCUGGAAAGGCUAAUGAACUUAGCAUUUAAAAAUGCUUGUAGAGCCGCGGGAUCUACCCCUCAAUCCCAGAGAAAGCACCUAAAAAGUAACGGAUGGGUACUUAGUACUCUUAUGCUUUUUUCUUCUUAGUCACACUCAUGGAUAUUGAUAAACUGAUGUGUUCUCAUUGGUAUUAAUAAUGAUACUCAAUCUUUAUCCAAAAUGUACUUCAUACCAGGUACUGUGUAAGUGCUUUAAACAAGUCAUCUCAAUAAAAUAAUAUCAUUAUGUAAGA